CCGAAGUCGGGAUUCUUUCUUUCCUGCUCUGAGAGGGACCAGGUCCCUCCUCCGUAGCUUUUGUCUCUCUAUUGCCUGCGCCGUGUCCUGGACUGCUCACGGGAGUUCUGCAGGAGACGCCGGAAUAUCUGGAAGCUGAAAAAUGGAAAUAAAUGGAAAGACCAGAAUAUUGAAGAUCACUACAGAAAUCUAAGGUGACUCCCACGACCAGUGCGGGUCACAGCACAGGCGACAGAAGCUAUGGCAGAGGCACCUGAACCCUCUCGGAGGGGAAAGCCAGGCUCCCAACCUCAGCUCGCCGCCUGGAGCCGGGAACCGAGGAGAGCAGGGCCUUCGCCCUCCCCGAUGGACACUCGGCAGGCCCCGCCCAGCGCCCCUGAUUGGACGAAGCGCCGGGCCCCGCCCCCUCAGCCUUUUGAGUCAGGGUCUCACCCUGUGGCCCAGGCUGCCCUCCAGUGAUGCCAUCAUGACUCAGUGCAACCUCAAACUCCCAGGUUCAAGCGAUCUUCCAUCCUGACCUCCAAAAGGGCUGGAUUAUACACAUAAGCCAUGUCACACUUUAUAUGUUUCUAGGGAAGCUUUUCUAAGAAUAAAUACAUUGGAACUA
RNAcentral lists this long non-coding RNA (607 nucleotides) under Homo sapiens (human). RNAcentral describes it as "ZNF433 and ZNF878 antisense RNA 1". Lineage: Eukaryota; Metazoa; Chordata; Mammalia; Primates; Hominidae. The record is from RNAcentral.